This 1334-nucleotide ribosomal RNA is filed under the name Camptochaeta tenuipalpalis. RNAcentral's name for it is "eukaryotic LSU rRNA". It matches the Rfam family "Eukaryotic large subunit ribosomal RNA", at positions 664 to 1859 of the family's 3401-position model. Lineage: Eukaryota; Metazoa; Arthropoda; Insecta; Diptera; Sciaridae. The record is from RNAcentral.
GACCAAGAAGUCUAACAUGUGUGCGAGUCAUUGGGUAUUUUGUUGAAACCUAAGGGCGUAAUUAAAAUAACUAUUUUAUGGGAUUACAAGUGAAUUAAUUUUCAUUUCUUCAUCCCGGGGCGUUCUAUACGAACAUGGUGCAAGCAAUUGAACCCUCUGUUCAAGAGCGUACCUUGAGCAUACAUGCUGUGACCCGAAAGAUGGUGAACUAUACCUGAUCAGAUCGAAGCCAGGAGAAAUUCUGGUGGAGGAUCGAAACAGUUCUGACGUGCAAAUCGAUUGUCAGAAUUGGGUAUAGGGGCGAAAGACCAAUCGAACCAUCUAGUAGCUGGUUCCCUCCGAAGUUUCCCUCAGGAUAGCUGGCGCAAAUAAUUAUAUUAUAUAUAAUCUUAUCUGGUAAAGCGAAUGAUUAGAGGCCUUGGGGCCGAAACGACCUCAACCUAUUCUCAAACUUUAAAUGGGUAAGAACCUCAUCUUUCUUGAUCUGAAGAUAUUGGGGUUUAGAUAUAUUGUGCCCAGUGGGCCACUUUUGGUAAGCAGAACUGGCGCUGUGGGAUGAACCAAACAUGAUGUUACGGCGCCUAAAUUAAUGACUCAUAUUGAUACCAUGAAAGGCGUUGGUUGCUUAAAACAGCAGGACGGUGGACAUGGAAGUCGUAAUCCGCUAAGGAGUGUGUAACAACUCACCUGCCGAAGCAACUAGCCCUUAAAAUGGAUGGCGCUCAAGUCAUAUGCCUAUACAUCAUCGCUAGAAUAAAAAUUGUUGAUCAUUUUGGUCAUCAUUAUGAAAUUCUAGUGAGUAGGAGGGUACAAUGGUGGCGCAGAAGUGUUUGGCGUGAGCCUGCAUGAAGCCGCCAUUGGCACAGAUCUUGGUGGUAGUAGCAAAUAAUCGAAUGAGAUCUUGGAGGACUGAAGUGGAGAAGGGUUUCGUGUGAACAGUGGUUGAUCACGAGUUAGUCGGUCCUAAGCUUUAUGCGAAAGCUGUUUAAUUUAUGUUACACACAAAACUUUUGUUGUACAUAAUUCAAUAAAAGCGAAAGGGAAUACGGUUCCAAUUCCGUAACCUGUUGAGUAUACGUUUGUUUAUUAAAAAUGGGUCUUAUUACACUCAUCCUGGCAACAGGAACGACCAUAGAGAAGCCUUCGAGAGAUACUGGAAGAGUUUUCUUUUCUGCUAAACAAACGUAUCACCAUGGAAGUCUUUUAUAGAGAGAUAUGGUGGAUGGCUUGGAAGAGCAUGACAUUUACUGUUGUGUCAGUAUUUUCUCCUUGGACCUUGAAAAUCUAUGGUGGGGCCACGCAAACUUCUCAACAGACCGUACCGAUAUCCGCAG